AACGAACGCUGGCGGCAUGCCUAAUACAUGCAAGUCGAACGAGAUCUUCGGAUCUAGUGGCGCACGGGUGCGUAACGCGUGGGAAUCUACCCUUGGGUUCGGAAUAACAGUUAGAAAUGACUGCUAAUACCGGAUGAUGACGUAAGUCCAAAGAUUUAUCGCCCAAGGAUGAGCCCGCGUAAGAUUAGCUAGUUGGUGAGGUAAAGGCUCACCAAGGCUACGAUCUUUAGCUGGUCUGAGAGGAUGAUCAGCCACACUGGGACUGAGACACGGCCCAGACUCCUACGGGAGGCAGCAGUAGGGAAUAUUGGACAAUGGGCGAAAGCCUGAUCCAGCAAUGCCGCGUGAGUGAUGAAGGCCUUAGGGUUGUAAAGCUCUUUUACCCGAGAUGAUAAUGACAGUAUCGGGAGAAUAAGCUCCGGCUAACUCCGUGCCAGCAGCCGCGGUAU
Molecule: ribosomal RNA, 449 nt
Filed under: uncultured bacterium
Lineage: Bacteria
Description: bacterial SSU rRNA
Rfam family: Bacterial small subunit ribosomal RNA
Source: RNAcentral